Molecule: non-coding RNA, 28 nt
Filed under: Mus musculus (house mouse)
Lineage: Eukaryota; Metazoa; Chordata; Mammalia; Rodentia; Muridae
Source: RNAcentral
UGCUUAAAGCGAAGAGUGUCUCCAAGUC